Molecule: ribosomal RNA, 443 nt
Filed under: uncultured bacterium
Lineage: Bacteria
Description: partial 16S ribosomal RNA
Rfam family: Bacterial small subunit ribosomal RNA
Source: RNAcentral
CCUACGGGCGGCAGCAGUGGGGAAUAUUGGGCAAUGGCGGAAACUCUGACCCAGCAACGCCGCGUGAAUGAUGAAGGUCUUCGGAUUGUAAAGCUCUUUUUUAAGGGAAGCAGAAAGUGACGGUACCUUAGGAAUAAGCCUCGGCUAACUACGUGCCAGCAGCAGCGGGAAUCCGGAGGAGGCAAUCGUUAUCCGGAAUGACUUGGCUUAAAGGUUGCGUAGGUUGUUUGAUAAGUUAGUAGCGUAACUCCGGGGCUCAACCUCGGCACUACUACCGAAACUGUCGGACUUGAGUGCAGGAGGGGCAAGUGGAAUGCGUAGUGUAGCGGUGGAAUGCGUAGAUAUUAGGAGGAACACCAGUGGCGAAGGCGAGUUGCUGGACUGUAACUGACACUGAGGCACGAAAGCGUGGGUAGCAAACAGGAUUAGAUACCCGGGUAGUC